Molecule: transfer RNA, 67 nt
Filed under: bovine gut metagenome
Rfam family: tRNA
About the family: Transfer RNA (tRNA) molecules are approximately 80 nucleotides in length. Their secondary structure includes four short double-helical elements and three loops (D, anti-codon, and T loops). Further hydrogen bonds mediate the characteristic L-shaped molecular structure. tRNAs have two regions of fundamental functional importance: the anti-codon, which is responsible for specific mRNA codon recognition, and the 3' end, to which the tRNAs corresponding amino acid is attached (by aminoacyl-tRNA synthetases). tRNAs cope with the degeneracy of the genetic code in two manners: having more than one tRNA (with a specific anti-codon) for a particular amino acid; and 'wobble' base-pairing, i.e. permitting non-standard base-pairing at the 3rd anti-codon position.
Source: RNAcentral
AAAGUAGCUCAGCUGGUAGAGCAGCUGAUUUGUAAUCAGCCGGUCGUAGGUUCGAGUCCUAUCUUUG